RNAcentral lists this ribosomal RNA (483 nucleotides) under uncultured bacterium. Its description in RNAcentral is "partial 16S ribosomal RNA". It matches the Rfam family "Bacterial small subunit ribosomal RNA", at positions 28 to 523 of the family's 1533-position model. The record is from RNAcentral.
GAUGAACGCUGGCGGCGUGCUUAACACAUGCAAGUCGAACGGUGAAAGCGGAGCUUGCUCCGCUGGAUCAGUGGCGAACGGGUGAGUAACACGUGGGCAACCUGCCCCUCACUUCGGGAUAACUCCGGGAAACCAGGGCUAAUACCGGAUAUGACCUCCUUGGGCAUCCUUGGAGGUGGAAAGUUUUUCGGUGAGGGAUGGGCCCGCGGCCUAUCAGCUUGUUGGUGAGGUAGUGGCUCACCAAGGCGACGACGGGUAGGCGGCCUGAGAGGGCGACCGGCCACACUGGGACUGAGACACGGCCCAGACUCCUACGGGAGGCAGCAGUGGGGAAUAUUGCACAAUGGGCGCAAGCCUGAUGCAGCAACGCCGCGUGAGGGAUGACGGCCUUCGGGUUGUAAACCUCUUUUAGCAGGGAAGAAGCGAAAGUGACGGUACCUGCAGAAAAAGCACCGGCUAACUACGUGCCAGCCGCCGCCGUAA